This is a small nuclear RNA of Loxodonta africana (African savanna elephant), 103 nucleotides long. The record is from Rfam. Lineage: Eukaryota; Metazoa; Chordata; Mammalia; Proboscidea; Elephantidae.
UUUUAUUCACUGUUCUAUAAAUAAAAUUGGAAUGAUACGAAGAAUAUUAGCAUGGCCCCUGCACAAGAAUGAUAAGCAAAUUAGUGUAGCAUUCCACAUUUGU